GGAGCGGUGUCCGAGUGGCUUAAGGAGCACGCCUGGAAAGCGUGUGGGGGGCAACUCCUCGUGGGUUCGAAUCCCACCUGCUCCGCCA
RNAcentral lists this transfer RNA (88 nucleotides) under Herpetosiphonaceae bacterium. RNAcentral describes it as "tRNA-Ser". It matches the Rfam family "tRNA". Rfam says of the family: Transfer RNA (tRNA) molecules are approximately 80 nucleotides in length. Their secondary structure includes four short double-helical elements and three loops (D, anti-codon, and T loops). Further hydrogen bonds mediate the characteristic L-shaped molecular structure. tRNAs have two regions of fundamental functional importance: the anti-codon, which is responsible for specific mRNA codon recognition, and the 3' end, to which the tRNAs corresponding amino acid is attached (by aminoacyl-tRNA synthetases). tRNAs cope with the degeneracy of the genetic code in two manners: having more than one tRNA (with a specific anti-codon) for a particular amino acid; and 'wobble' base-pairing, i.e. permitting non-standard base-pairing at the 3rd anti-codon position. Lineage: Bacteria; Bacillati; Chloroflexota; Chloroflexia; Herpetosiphonales; Herpetosiphonaceae. The record is from RNAcentral.